AAGAUAUAUAUAUAUAUAUAUGUAUAUAUAUCUCUCUCUCUCUCUCUAAUGAGCUCGACGACGUGCUAACCCAACACCAGAAGUCGUCUCCCUUUGAUUUCCCCCAAGAUAUCUCUCUCUCUCUUUCUCUCUCUCUCUCUCUACAUCAUUGUAUUUCACUGAAUCUUCGUUCGCAUACGGGCGUCAAUCCUCUACAACCUGAUUGCCUCAUAUUAUCAGUUCAUGGAGACGGUUUGCGUAUUGGGGAACAGAUACUCAGAAGUGAUUGCACUCCAAGACAUUGCAAUGUAUGGUGCGCUUUGUGUGCUUGCAAGUUUUGACAGAACAAAGCUCAAGGCAACUAUACCAUGUCUAUUACUAUUGCAUAGUUCCUAUGUAAUAUUGUAGUGUGAGCCGCACUUUUCAAAAAACUAUCAAAAUUAUGAUAGUAUAUAUUUAUGCUCCUAGUAUUUGCUUCGGUGGAUAAGUUCCUAUUUCGUGGACAAUGCUAACAAAAUGAUAUCUGUCCAUAGCUAUUUAAUUUCCUCCAGUACUUUAGGAUU
Long non-coding RNA from Rhododendron vialii, 542 nucleotides. RefSeq lists it as uncharacterized. The record is from RefSeq and is a predicted model, not a curated record. The transcript has 2 exons. NCBI's taxonomy places the organism in Eukaryota, Viridiplantae, Streptophyta, Magnoliopsida, Ericales, Ericaceae.